This 235-nucleotide ribosomal RNA is filed under the name uncultured bacterium. Its description in RNAcentral is "partial 16S ribosomal RNA". It matches the Rfam family "Bacterial small subunit ribosomal RNA", at positions 118 to 351 of the family's 1533-position model. The record is from RNAcentral.
UGGGUGAUCUGCCCUGCACUUCGGGAUAAGCCUGGGAAACUGGGUCUAAUACCGGAUAUGACUCCUCAUCGCAUGGUGGGGGGUGGAAAGCUUUAUUGUGGUUUUGGAUGGACUCGCGGCCUAUCAGCUUGUUGGUGAGGUAAUGGCUCACCAAGGCGACGACGGGUAGCCGGCCUGAGAGGGUGACCGGCCACACUGGGACUGAGACACGGCCCAGACUCCGUACGGGAGGCAG